UGGGGUUUCGCCAGCCUGGGGCAGGCUUUAGGGAUAAAUGUGGGUAGUCAGGCUGUGGGGGUCCGUCUGUGGGCAGUGUCAAAAGCCAAGCUGUUUUGAAACUUCAUGCAAACCGGUGGGUGCUGCAGAAUUGGCCUCUUCCAGCCACAGCAGUAAUCCUGUUACGUUCUCUCUGUGAGUCUGGGAAACAUACAGACACUGGUUGAAACUUCAGCUUUGUCAUUUACCAGCUGUGCUAUCACAGGCUGGUCUGAAACUCCUGGGCUCAAGCAGUUCUCCCACAUUGGCUUCCCAAAGUGCUGGGAUUACAGGUCUGAACCACCGAACCGGGCCACAGAGUGGCAAUGUGGUUGGCAUGACCCAGUCACAGCACCCCGGGACUCUUGUCCAGCAUUGGCGCUCUAUAUGCAGAGCCCUUUCACUCAGCCUGGCAGCAUCUGAUCAGCGUCGAAGCCCAGUGGCUUGAGGAAUAAAUAUAAACAGUGCAGAGACUAAAAGCAGAGCUCUGGUCCAGCACAUCUACUCCCAAGCUCUGCCACCCUGGACAAGCUCCUUCCCCUCUCUGAGCCUCAGUCUCCUCCCUGUAAUACUGUAAGAACCCUGUCCACAGUUGUGUGCCGAUAUACUGAAUGUAAAGCACCUAAAAGCCUGCCAGGACGUGGCAGGCACUCAAGAAGCAUUACUAGAUUCAUUUCACACAUGGAGAAACUGAGUCCCAGAGUGGGAAAGUGACUCAGGCAAAGAUUCCCUCACAGAACUGGGGAUAAAAAUCCAGAUCUUCAAGCUCCCAGUCAGUGCCUAAUUACUACUUUCUCAUUCUUGGAAUUUGUAAUUAUUUCAUGACAAGUGUGCUUUUGGCUGCUGGAGGGACAGAGCUUCAGAGGUUGUGAGCCUCCCCUGGCUCAGCCUGACCCAGAACCAGCUCACUCAUGAAACUACCCUCUCUUGAAGAGAAUAGGAGUUGUGGGGAGGAAGAACAUAACCCAGAGGCCAGAGAACGUGGAGGCCAGGGUUGGUGUAACUGUGUAGGUAAGAGCAGCAGCUUCGUGAUCAGCCAGACCUGCAUUUAAAUCCUUCUCUGCCACUUCUUAGCUGUGUGACCAGCUACAUGACACCACCUCCCUGAGCCUCAGGUUUUCAUCUGUAAACUUUCAAUGCUACCUCUCCCAUAGGGUUGUUGUAGGAAUUAAAUAAGACAACAGAGGUAGAGUACCUGCUCCCAACUGGCAGCCCUUAUAAUUUCAUGAAGAGGAAGCAAAAGGGGAGCCAGCUACCUUUUUUUUUUUUUUUUUGAGACAGAGCCUCUUUCUGUCACUCA
Molecule: long non-coding RNA, 1318 nt
Filed under: Homo sapiens (human)
Lineage: Eukaryota; Metazoa; Chordata; Mammalia; Primates; Hominidae
Description: HSALNT0290772
Source: RNAcentral